RNAcentral lists this ribosomal RNA (465 nucleotides) under Vreelandella stevensii. RNAcentral describes it as "partial 16S ribosomal RNA". It matches the Rfam family "Bacterial small subunit ribosomal RNA", at positions 338 to 795 of the family's 1533-position model. The record is from RNAcentral. Lineage: Bacteria; Pseudomonadati; Pseudomonadota; Gammaproteobacteria; Oceanospirillales; Halomonadaceae.
CCUACGGGUGGCUGCAGUGGGGAAUAUUGGACAAUGGGGGCAACCCUGAUCCAGCCAUGCCGCGUGUGUGAAGAAGGCCCUCGGGUUGUAAAGCACUUUCAGUGAGGAAGAACGCCUGGUGGUUAAUACCCAUCAGGAAAGACAUCACUCACAGAAGAAGCACCGGCUAACUCCGUGCCAGCAGCCGCGGUAAUACGGAGGGUGCGAGCGUUAAUCGGAAUUACUGGGCGUAAAGCGCGCGUAGGUGGCUUGAUAAGCCGGUUGUGAAAGCCCCGGGCUCAACCUGGGAACGGCAUCCAGAACUGUCAAGCUAGAGUGCAGGAGAGGAAGGUAGAAUUCCCGGUGUAGCGGUGAAAUGCGUAGAGAUCGGGAGGAAUACCAGUGGCGAAGGCGGCCUUCUGGACUGACACUGACACUGAGGUGCGAAAGCGUGGGUAGCAAACAGGAUUAGAUACCCGAGUAGUC